ACAAACUGAGAAGAAAAAAAAAGAAUUACCCCCAACAACAUCUGAGGAAGUAGAACAGGGACAGACUUGAAGGCACCUGGGCAGUCCUCUGGUUUUGGAGUAGAGGCAGCUGACGUCUGGUGAUGAUUCACCAUAUCAGGAACACCCUGUCCAGUGGGCUCAGGCAAGCCUGCCAGGCCACUUCUCUAAAGACACAACCUGAGGCCUCCUGCAAUAAUUCUCACAGAGCAUUCUGAACAUACAUAAAAUCACAAUGGUAAGAAAAUGAAGACAGGCAAAAGCCACUGGCUCCCAGGUAACUCUACAUGAUGAAGGGGCUGAUAAUGGACUGACCAAAUCUAGAGAGAAUUCCAGAAGCAAGGACUCAAGAGGUUAAAGGUCCCAGAUCUAGAAAAAGCAGAAACUGCUGAUUGUUCCUUUUUUUGUUGACUGAUUAUACAAUGUGUCCUUUUAAAAAUGGUUCUCUGUUCUCUUUGCAGUUGUUGUAUUG
Molecule: long non-coding RNA, 490 nt
Filed under: Homo sapiens (human)
Lineage: Eukaryota; Metazoa; Chordata; Mammalia; Primates; Hominidae
Description: non-protein coding lnc-PPIAL4F-4:7
Source: RNAcentral